RNAcentral lists this ribosomal RNA (506 nucleotides) under uncultured bacterium. Its description in RNAcentral is "partial 16S ribosomal RNA". It matches the Rfam family "Bacterial small subunit ribosomal RNA", at positions 28 to 523 of the family's 1533-position model. The record is from RNAcentral.
GAUGAACGCUAGCUACAGGCUUAACACAUGCAAGUCGAGGGGUAACGAGAGGAAAGCUUGCUUUCCUUGUCGACGACCGGCGCACGGGUGAGUAACGCGUAUCCAACCUGCCCCCAACUAGGGAAUAACCUUGCGAAAGUAAGACUAAUACCCUAUAAUUUCCUCAGAUGACAUCUGACGAGGAAUAAAGAUUUAUCGGUUGUGGAUGGGGAUGCGUCUGAUUAGCUUGUUGGCGGGGUAACGGCCCACCAAGGCAACGAUCAGUAGGGGUUCUGGGAGGAAGGUCCCCCACAUUGGAACUGAGACACGGUCCAAACUCCUACGGGAGGCAGCAGUGAGGAAUAUUGGUCAAUGGGCGGAAGCCUGAACCAGCCAAGUAGCGUGCAGGAUGACGGCCCUAUGGGUUGUAAACUGCUUUUAUACAGGAAUAAAGUUAGCCACGUGUGGUUAUUUGUAGGUACUGUAUGAAUAAGGACCGGCUAAUUCCGUGCCAGCCGCCGCAGUAA